Long non-coding RNA from Trachemys scripta elegans, 1726 nucleotides. RefSeq lists it as uncharacterized. The record is from RefSeq and is a predicted model, not a curated record. NCBI's taxonomy places the organism in Eukaryota, Metazoa, Chordata, Testudines, Emydidae. The transcript has 4 exons.
AAAAAAGAAUGAAAAGAUUCAGCCAUGAUGUGCUGGAAACUAUCUUUAAAGGAGAUACAGCAAUGACCUAAUUAAGAAGCACAAGGCUGGACAUAACCAAAGAAUAAGUGAGAGAUUUAUCAGCCCAUAAACUGUGUAGGUGUGCAAACAUGGUAAAGGAAGGCUAUUUUAUGUUUUGGAAGAAGCAUAAUUUGUUCCUUCGUGGAGUCUCUCUAAGACACUUUAUGUUCUCCACUUGCUUCCUUCUCACACCUUCAAAAGCAGUUCAUCUUGCAGAGGAGACCUGGCAAUGGAUUCUCCAAAGUUCAUCAAUGAUGCUCCUGUAUCAGCUGAAGAUAUUUCUAGUGUGACACAAUGGAAUUACUGCUUCCUUCAUGAAGAGUUAAGUGAACUAUUCUUGUAGCACUUCUAGUCCUUGCUGACCUGGGACCAAAGGUAUCAAAUUUGGGUCCCCAUGUGGCAGCGCUGUGCACUGCCACACGAUUUCUGGCCAAAGAAGCACAAUUGUAAAAGUUAGUCAUUAUUUUCAACAAGAUAUUUCAUAUUCUAUCUUCUCUCAUGCAGGAUUUUAUAUAGCACAGCUACUUUUGAUUUCUCAAACGUAAAUAUUUAAUUGUGUUUCAAUUUGUUAAAAAAAUGCUCAUGUCUACUUAAGGGUCUAGCGCUACAAACACAUGCAAUUUAUAGCUGAAGUAUGGUAUAAUUUUAAAGUUUGGUUUAAAUCAUUUUAAGUUUAAAUUGUUACCAGACUUAAAGUGCGAUUUCAAGCAGUUGCAGAGAUGCUAGAAUUUUAAAUAGCUUUUUUCAACAUUUUCUGUUUAGCUAAAUUAUUCCAUAAAGAAUUGCUAAAUUGAUAAUUUAUAAUCAAAUUUAAAUUAUAUUUCAGCUGCAUUCAUAUUUAAUAUAGUCUUGUCAAAUCUCAUGCCUCAUUUUCUAACUAAGCAAUGUUCUAUCUGCAUAGGAAAUAAAAAUUUCCACCAUAAUUAGUAAAGAUUUUAUUAUUAUUAUUAUUAUACAUUGUAAAAAUUCUCAUAAAACUAUAGUGUUACUUGACUCCAAAUAAAACAGCACAUUGGACCACCUCUGUAUGUCAGACAUGGGAAGACAAACCACAGGAAAGGGAAAAAGAGGUAGAGGAGGAUCAUUUUUUCUAUGCAGCUGCUACACUUAAUUUGAUUGUUAUAUUUUAAAAAAUUACCAUUUAUGAAUAUUAACAAUUGUUUUAUUGAUUAAAGUUCAAAUAUUUUAAUAAAUAUGAACUACAGUUCAUAUUUAUUGUGCAGCAAAUUACAGGCACUGAAUUAUUUGGGCUACAACUUAUUCCUUGAGCAAAAUGACACACAAAACAUAGCAUAAAUAAAAAGCAAAAGAUACUGAAAUCUCUCUAAUAGGUUGUUGUUUUUUGUUUUUGCUAGUAUUGUAUACGUGCAAGAGGAAAAAAAUAGGCAUUUUUGUGUGGGUGAUGCAUCUGAAAACAAAAGUACAAACCAUCUUACAAACACAGUCAUGGAAAAGAAGCACAGAUGGCAAUUCACCUGCACCAUACCUUUGACUUCAUGAAGUGAAGCGUUGUUAUUGCUAUUACUAGUGGAUGUUCUGCCACUAUCAAGGCUGGCUGGUCUGGAAGCUAAAUGAAAAAUACAUCAUCAGGGCCCUCCAGAUGCUCAGAACUACCUGUCCAUUGUCCUCCUGCUAGGACCAUGGACUGCACCAGGUCAUUCAUGGC